Jaculus jaculus (lesser Egyptian jerboa) is the source of this 130-nucleotide small nucleolar RNA. Its record names the gene SNORA63. It matches the Rfam family "Small nucleolar RNA SNORA63". Rfam says of the family: E3 belongs to the H/ACA class of snoRNAs and is involved in the processing of eukaryotic pre-rRNA and has regions of complementarity to 18S rRNA. The record is from Ensembl. Lineage: Eukaryota; Metazoa; Chordata; Mammalia; Rodentia; Dipodidae.
AGGCAGGAUCUCGCUACAUUGUAGCUGUGAAGUGCUGCAUUGUCGUUGUUCCCUGCUCAAAAGAAAACUGUGACCUUCCAGGACCUGUCUGCACUGUGCAGUAGCAGUAGGAAUGCUUGGUCUCAGACAU